GACGAACGCUGGCGGCGUGCUUAACACAUGCAAGUCGAACGGAAAGGCCCUGCUUUUGUGGGGUGCUCGAGUGGCGAACGGGUGAGUAACACGUGAGUAACCUGCCCUUGACUUUUGGAUAACUUCAGGAAACUGGGGCUAAUACCGGAUAGGAGCUCCUGCUGCAUGGUGGGGGUUGGAAAGUUUCGGCGGUUGGGGAUGGACUCGCGGCUUAUCAGCUUGUUGGUGGGGUAGUGGCUUACCAAGGCUUUGACGGGUAGCCGGCCUGAGAGGGUGACCGGCCACAUUGGGACUGAGAUACGGACCAGACUCCUACGGGAGGCAGCAGUGGGGAAUAUUGCACAAUGGGCGGAAGCCUGAUGCAGCAACGCCGCGUGCGGGAUGACGGCCUUCGGGUUGUAAACCGCUUUCGCCUGUGACGAAGCGUGAGUGACGGUAAUGGGUAAAGAAGCACCGGCUAACUACGUG
This 468-nucleotide ribosomal RNA is filed under the name uncultured bacterium. RNAcentral describes it as "partial 16S ribosomal RNA". It matches the Rfam family "Bacterial small subunit ribosomal RNA", at positions 28 to 507 of the family's 1533-position model. The record is from RNAcentral.